GUUGGCUUAGAAGCAGCCACCAUUUAAAGAGUGCGUAAUAGCUCACUAGUCGAGUGACCCUGCGCCGAAAAUGUACCGGGGCUAAACAUAUUACCGAAGCUGUGGAGUACACCUUUAGGUGUAUUGGUAGGAGAGCGUUCUAAGGGCGUUGAAGGCAGAUCGUGAGGACUGCUGGAGCGCUUAGAAGUGAGAAUGCCGGUAUGAGUAGCGAAAGACAGGUGAGAAUCCUGUCCACCGAAUGACUAAGGUUUCCUGGGGAAGGCUCGUCCGCCCAGGGUUAGUCGGGACCUAAGCCGAGGCCGACAGGCGUAGGCGAUGGAUAACAGGUUGAUAUUCCUGUACCCGUUGUUUUUGUUUGAGCAAUGGAGGGACGCAGGAGGCUAAGGAAUGCAGACGAUCGGAAAUGUCUGUCCAAGCAGUAAGUCUGAAGAGGAGUCAAAUGCUUCUUUUCUUAAGGACAAGCUGUGAUGGGGAGGGAAAUAAUAGUACCGAAG
This 494-nucleotide ribosomal RNA is filed under the name Enterococcus faecium. Its description in RNAcentral is "bacterial LSU rRNA". It matches the Rfam family "Bacterial large subunit ribosomal RNA", at positions 1100 to 1590 of the family's 2925-position model. The record is from RNAcentral. Lineage: Bacteria; Bacillati; Bacillota; Bacilli; Lactobacillales; Enterococcaceae.